RNAcentral lists this ribosomal RNA (1489 nucleotides) under Lactiplantibacillus plantarum. RNAcentral describes it as "bacterial SSU rRNA". It matches the Rfam family "Bacterial small subunit ribosomal RNA". The record is from RNAcentral. Lineage: Bacteria; Bacillati; Bacillota; Bacilli; Lactobacillales; Lactobacillaceae.
GACGAACGCUGGCGGCGUGCCUAAUACAUGCAAGUCGAACGAACUCUGGUAUUGAUUGGUGCUUGCAUCAUGAUUUACAUUUGAGUGAGUGGCGAACUGGUGAGUAACACGUGGGAAACCUGCCCAGAAGCGGGGGAUAACACCUGGAAACAGAUGCUAAUACCGCAUAACAACUUGGACCGCAUGGUCCGAGUUUGAAAGAUGGCUUCGGCUAUCACUUUUGGAUGGUCCCGCGGCGUAUUAGCUAGAUGGUGGGGUAACGGCUCACCAUGGCAAUGAUACGUAGCCGACCUGAGAGGGUAAUCGGCCACAUUGGGACUGAGACACGGCCCAAACUCCUACGGGAGGCAGCAGUAGGGAAUCUUCCACAAUGGACGAAAGUCUGAUGGAGCAACGCCGCGUGAGUGAAGAAGGGUUUCGGCUCGUAAAACUCUGUUGUUAAAGAAGAACAUAUCUGAGAGUAACUGUUCAGGUAUUGACGGUAUUUAACCAGAAAGCCACGGCUAACUACGUGCCAGCAGCCGCGGUAAUACGUAGGUGGCAAGCGUUGUCCGGAUUUAUUGGGCGUAAAGCGAGCGCAGGCGGUUUUUUAAGUCUGAUGUGAAAGCCUUCGGCUCAACCGAAGAAGUGCAUCGGAAACUGGGAAACUUGAGUGCAGAAGAGGACAGUGGAACUCCAUGUGUAGCGGUGAAAUGCGUAGAUAUAUGGAAGAACACCAGUGGCGAAGGCGGCUGUCUGGUCUGUAACUGACGCUGAGGCUCGAAAGUAUGGGUAGCAAACAGGAUUAGAUACCCUGGUAGUCCAUACCGUAAACGAUGAAUGCUAAGUGUUGGAGGGUUUCCGCCCUUCAGUGCUGCAGCUAACGCAUUAAGCAUUCCGCCUGGGGAGUACGGCCGCAAGGCUGAAACUCAAAGGAAUUGACGGGGGCCCGCACAAGCGGUGGAGCAUGUGGUUUAAUUCGAAGCUACGCGAAGAACCUUACCAGGUCUUGACAUACUAUGCAAAUCUAAGAGAUUAGACGUUCCCUUCGGGGACAUGGAUACAGGUGGUGCAUGGUUGUCGUCAGCUCGUGUCGUGAGAUGUUGGGUUAAGUCCCGCAACGAGCGCAACCCUUAUUAUCAGUUGCCAGCAUUAAGUUGGGCACUCUGGUGAGACUGCCGGUGACAAACCGGAGGAAGGUGGGGAUGACGUCAAAUCAUCAUGCCCCUUAUGACCUGGGCUACACACGUGCUACAAUGGAUGGUACAACGAGUUGCGAACUCGCGAGAAUAAGCUAAUCUCUUAAAGCCAUUCUCAGUUCGGAUUGUAGGCUGCAACUCGCCUACAUGAAGUCGGAAUCGCUAGUAAUCGCGGAUCAGCAUGCCGCGGUGAAUACGUUCCCGGGCCUUGUACACACCGCCCGUCACACCAUGAGAGUUUGUAACACCCAAAGUCGGUGGGGUAACCUUUUAGGAACCAGCCGCCUAAGGUGGGACAGAUGAUUAGGGUG